RNAcentral lists this ribosomal RNA (498 nucleotides) under uncultured bacterium. Its description in RNAcentral is "partial 16S ribosomal RNA". It matches the Rfam family "Bacterial small subunit ribosomal RNA", at positions 30 to 523 of the family's 1533-position model. The record is from RNAcentral.
AUUGAACGCUGGCGGCAUGCCUUACACAUGCAAGUCGAACGGUAACAGGUCUUCGGAUGCUGACGAGUGGCGAACGGGUGAGUAAUACAUCGGAACGUGCCUCGUAGUGGGGGAUAACUACUCGAAAGAGUGGCUAAUACCGCAUGAGAGCUACGGAUGAAAGCAGGGGAUCGCAAGACCUUGUGCUCCUAUAGCGGCCGAUGGCAGAUUAGGUAUUUGGUGGGCUAAAAGCUUACCAAGCCGACGAUCUGUAGGUGGUCUGAAAGUACGAUCAGCCACACUGGGACUGAGACACGGCCCAUACUCCUACGGGAGGCAGCAGUGGGGAAGUUUGGACAAUGGGCGAAAGCCUGAUCCAGCAAUGCCGCGUGCAGGAUGAAGGCCUUCGGGUUGUAAACUGCUUUUGUACGGAACGAAAAGCCCCGGGUUAAUACCCUGGGGUCAUGACGGUACCGUAAGAAUAAGCACCGGCUAACUACGUGCCAGCCGCCGCGGUAA